Oxyura jamaicensis (ruddy duck) is the source of this 773-nucleotide long non-coding RNA. RefSeq lists it as uncharacterized. The record is from RefSeq and is a predicted model, not a curated record. Lineage: Eukaryota; Metazoa; Chordata; Aves; Anseriformes; Anatidae. The transcript has 3 exons.
AUCACCUCAUUCAGUUUUUCCAACUAGGUGACAGCAUGUCUCUUCAUGUAGUUAUUAAAUUAAGGCCACAAGGAACUGUUAGAUAUGCAGAAAAUAACAACUUACCUUUAAAAAAGCCAUUUUCCCCAGAAAACCGUCUAGUCCUAAAGGUAACACUAGAUGAAGAACCCACCUUUUCUUAUGGCAGAUUGACCCCAACAGUCAUCAACAAUAUAAAUAUAUGUCUGCCAAUGAAGAUUCUUACAGAGUACAGGUAGAAACUUUUUUCCCCACAAAGAUGUCAUUGGAACAGUUUGCCCAGGGUGGUUGUGCUCUUUGUCCGUAGAGAUUUUCAAGACCUGAUAAGAUAAAACCCUCAGCAAGCUGGUCAGAGCUCAGAGGUGACCCUGCUUUGAGAAGAAAUUUGAAUUAGUGGCCUUUUGAGGUCCCUUCCAGCCUAAAUUAUCAUGCAAUCUUCCAACACUAUAAUCCUAACAUUAAUUUGCCUGUCUCCAGAUUCCAGGCACCAGUCUUAAUGAGGCCAUUCUGAGCUGCCAGGCUUAGCUCUGCUGAAUUAUCUCUGCUGGAACUCUCAGUCCCUUGUCCCUAAGGAACUAGAAAGCAAGGCACAACAGAGCUUUUAUUUUCCCUUCUCUGAGGCUUGAGGAUCUGGCAAAUCCAUACCCAAGGAUUUUUCUACUCCUGGCUCUGCAGCUGAGAUUUCCAGGCUCCUAAAAUAUUAACAUACUUUAAAAUACUUUAACAUACAGUAUUAACAUACUUCUUAAUAUUUU